GAUUGUAUGGCUUAGUUGGCCAGAGUGCUUGGACGGUUUCCCAGAGGCGCAGGUUCAAUUCCCACUAUGUACA
RNAcentral lists this transfer RNA (73 nucleotides) under Heliconius melpomene (postman butterfly). Its description in RNAcentral is "tRNA HMEL014465". The record is from RNAcentral. Lineage: Eukaryota; Metazoa; Arthropoda; Insecta; Lepidoptera; Nymphalidae.